AUGCUUCCUUCUUUCAUUCCAAUUGGCUCUCUCAAAUCACGCGACAGACACACCAGAGAAUAUCAGUCCACGCCGUCCGCCUCUGCAUCAGCCGCCGCCCGGCACCACCACCGGUUACCCCGCCUCAGCUAUCACCACCACCGCCUCUGCCUAAAGCCUAAGUGACAAUGAGAUGAGAGCAAUGAAGUUCUGGGAUUGGUACUUGAAGAUAGCAGUUGGGUCAGCGAUGGUUGGUGGUUCAAUGGAGCUUUUCAUGAUCAAAACCGGUUUCUGUACGAUAAAGUAGCAGUUUUGGAGUCAGAGAAGAGGGCUUGGGAGAGUUCACCUGAAGCUCAGGCCAUGAGAGAAGCUCUCAAUCCUUGGGGGGAUCAAGAGAAGAAAGGAAAGAAAAGUUCCUAGUUGCGUUUUAGAAUGGACUCCGUCUGGUCCGGUUUGCAUAUCCAAUCCGCACUCAGUCAGAGUUACCUUUCCACUAAUAUCGAGAAAAUGGGCAGUUUGUUCUGAGGCAAUGUCAUCUAAACCGGUGUUGGAAGAUCAGAAUAUCUUGUUUGCUGAUUGCUGUUGAUGAAACUUUGAUCCCUGCCUUUGUUGCAGUUUUUAUUGUUGAAUCCAAUUGAUUGGUUUGAGUUA
This is a long non-coding RNA of Salvia miltiorrhiza (redroot sage), 630 nucleotides long. RefSeq lists it as uncharacterized. The record is from RefSeq and is a predicted model, not a curated record. The transcript is spliced from 5 exons. Lineage: Eukaryota; Viridiplantae; Streptophyta; Magnoliopsida; Lamiales; Lamiaceae.